Diprion similis is the source of this 144-nucleotide long non-coding RNA. RefSeq lists it as uncharacterized. Lineage: Eukaryota; Metazoa; Arthropoda; Insecta; Hymenoptera; Diprionidae. The record is from RefSeq and is a predicted model, not a curated record. The transcript is spliced from 3 exons.
UCUUAAUCGGAAUAUCACAAAAUUCAUAGAUUUAAAACCUUUUGUAACUGUGCGUUUUAUGCCAUAAGUACGUGGGAAUAUCCUGCUAUUUUUAUAAAAUCUCAAAAACGAAACACCAUUAACUUUAUCCAAUAACUAUGUAUA